AUGCAGCAACGCCGCGUGAGGGAUGACGGCCUUCGGGUUGUAAACCUCUUUUAGCAGGGAAGAAGCGAAAGUGACGGUACCUGCAGAAAAAGCGCCGGCUAACUACGUGCCAGCAGCCGCGGUAAUACGUAGGGCGCAAGCGUUAUCCGGAAUUAUUGGGCGUAAAGAGCUCGUAGGCGGUUUGUCGCGUCUGCUGUGAAAUCCCGAGGCUCAACUUCGGGUCUGCAGUGGGUACGGGCAGACUAGAGUGCGGUAGGGGAGAUUGGAAUUCCUGGUGUAGCGGUGGAAUGCGCAGAUAUCAGGAGGAACACCGAUGGCGAAGGCGGAUCUCUGGGC
Molecule: ribosomal RNA, 336 nt
Filed under: Microbacterium sp. DN20
Lineage: Bacteria; Bacillati; Actinomycetota; Actinomycetes; Micrococcales; Microbacteriaceae
Description: bacterial SSU rRNA
Rfam family: Bacterial small subunit ribosomal RNA
Source: RNAcentral